CCCUUAGAUGUUCUGGGCUGCACGCGCGCUACACUGAUGCGUUCAACGAGUUUAUGACCUUGCCCGAAAGGUCUGGGUAAUCUCCAAAUUUCGUCGUGAUGGGGAUAGAUUAUUGCAAUUAUUAAUCUUCAACGAGGAAUGCCUAGUAAGCGCAAGUCAUCAGCUUGCGUUGAUUACGUCCCUGCCCUUUGUACACACCGCCCGUCGCUCCUACCGAUUGAAUGGUCCGGUGAAGCGUUCGGACCGUGGCCUUUGGACGGUUCGCCGUCUGUUGGCUGCGGGAAGUUCGUUAAACCUUAUCAUUUAGAGGAAGGAGAAGUCGUAACA
RNAcentral lists this ribosomal RNA (327 nucleotides) under uncultured eukaryote. RNAcentral's name for it is "partial 18S ribosomal RNA". It matches the Rfam family "Eukaryotic small subunit ribosomal RNA", at positions 1470 to 1796 of the family's 1831-position model. The record is from RNAcentral.